AAAAAGAAAAAAAAAAAAAAAACGUGCACAUCCUUGCCUCUUAUGUUUAUAGUUUCUGCAUGACAAUCUCAAUUUUCUUAGCAGCAUCAUAUAAAUGCUUUAACUUGACUUCUUCCAAGAGCAAACAACAUGUCCGAUAUCUAGGCAUUAUAUCUUUACCAAUCAUUUCCUCAAACAGGCAGUAAGCCCAAUCACACUUGUUUGCUCUACAAAGUCCAUGAAUUAAAAGCGUGUAGGCUGAUUUGUCAAGACUGAGAUGAUGCUUUUUAACCAUGUCAUCCAAUAAUUGACGCAACAAACUAUCUAUCUUACCAGUUCUAAAGCAUGACUUAAGCAAUGGGUAGUAAGUUUGAACAUCGGGCUUACAAAUCAUUGAAGUUUCCAUUUCGUUAAGCAGAUUCAAAGCCUUUAGUUCUUGAGCUUGAUGGCAUAACAUGGCAAUCAUGGAAUUGUAUGUAGAUGUAUUUGGGGGAAUGCCAGUACUUGGCAUCUCUUCCUCAAAAAUACGAACAGCUUCCUGUGGUCUGCCAGCUCUCCCUAGUGAAUGGAUCAGAGAAUUGUAAAACAGCGCAUCAGGUUUACAUCCAACUAACCUCAUCCUCUGGGCUAUUUCUAAAGCCUCUUCAUAUUUCUCUGACUUUGCUAGCGCACUCAUCACAGAGGUGUAAGUAACAACAUUAGGUGUGGAUCCCAGGGCAGCUUCCAUUUCAUCAAGGAGUUCAUAGACCUUGCAAAAGUCACAUCUACAGCAGUAGAAUUGGAUGAUGGUAGAAUAGCUUAUGACACAAGGGAGAAAACCAUGUCCUCUCAUUUCCUGGAUUGUCCAGUAUGCUUCAUCAACCCGACAGACUUUGCACCAACCAUGAAUAAAAAUGUUAAAUGUGUUAGCGUUUGGAGAAAUGUGUGAUUUGAGCUCCAAGAAGAUCUCACGGGCUUGCUCCACCUUGCGUUCUUUGCAAAGGGUGUCCAGUAACAAGUUCAUAGACUCUGUAUUCUUCUCCAACCCAAAAGUUCCUAACUUGUCAAAUACCCUUACAGCAUUUUCCCAUUGCCCUGCCCCAGAAAACCUUCUCAUAGCCUUACCCACUGUCUUAAGUGUAACAAGCUGACCUUUCUUCAUUUCCUCUAACAAUGCCUCCAUCUGAUCCAUUUGUUUCAUUUUCCCCAGAAUGUCCACCAAUGUAUCAUAAGCUUCUGACUUAUGCUUAUAGCCACGCAACUCUGCCCAUCUAAAGACACCCAAUGCAGAUUUCCAAUCAUCCUUAAAAUGGAACAACAAUCUGUUAACAAGGUCAUGAGAAAGAUGUAUACUAUUACACGUUUGAUCAUGCGCAAGAGAUUGAAGAAUCUCAUCAUGACUAUUCCCAACUCGAACUUUCUCUACAAGAAUCCCUAUGUCAGAUUGUCUUGUCGAGUUCAGACAUUGUUCUUGACAAUCAAGUUUACGCUUGGCAAAAUGGGGAGUUUCAAAAGUUUCAACUAGGGAAGAAACAAAGAUAGAAGAAAGAGCAUGAAAGCUAUGACCACAGUGAACAAAGUAAAGGGCACAAGAAAAUGAUGGGUCAAGAAAGACACAGGUAGUUCUAAGGCAGCUCCCAAGAAGUGAAACCAUGGAGAAGGGCAAAUAUACACCUGCAUCCCAAGUGAAUUUAGAGCGUGAUUAGAGUUCAAUUAGAUGCUCCCUAACUAAAUUAUACUAAUUUCACCUCCUGACACUGGUUUCCAAUUCCUGGUUUGAAUUAAACAACCCCAAAGCUACGAUAAAAUUCGAAAAUUGAAAAGGCAAACGCAUGAACUUCACUAGAAUUAAAAGGAUGCUCUUGCAGAAAUAAAAAAUGAAAACAAAAGGGGUAAAAAACAGUGGAACGAGAUGAUGUUUGAAACCGUACCUGAUGGAUUAGAGACCACAGUGAGAUGGCGGCUUUUCCUUUUGGGAGCUAAAACGUCUGGCAGGGGAUUCGAACAACAGAGAAGCCAGAAGGUGAAUCGGACCAGAAGCCAUCCUUGCUAGCUCAGCCUCGAAAGAGAAAUCAGGCCUCAG
Molecule: unclassified non-coding RNA, 2041 nt
Filed under: Hevea brasiliensis (rubber tree)
Lineage: Eukaryota; Viridiplantae; Streptophyta; Magnoliopsida; Malpighiales; Euphorbiaceae
Source: RNAcentral